GCAGCAGGCGCGCAAAUUACCCACUCCCAGCUCGGGGAGGUAGUGACGAAAAAUAACGAUACGGGACUCAUCCGAGGCCCCGUAAUCGGAAUGAGUACACUUUAAAUCCUUUAACGAGGAUCAAUUGGAGGGCAAGUCUGGUGCCAGCAGCCGCGGUAAUUCCAGCUCCAAUAGCGUAUAUUAAAGUUGUUGCGGUUAAAAAGCUCGUAGUCGAAUUUGUGUCUCGCGCCGUCCGGUUCAUCGUUCGCGGUGUCAACUGGCGUGUCGCGAGACGUAUUGCCGGCGGGUCGUUCGCAAGAGCGACCCAAUUGACCCCGCCGCGGUGCUCUUCACUGAGUGUCGAGGUGGGCCGGCACGUUUACUUUGAACAAACUAAGGUGCUUAAAGCAGGCUGAAAUUUUGCCAGAAUAUUUUAUGCAUGGAAUAAUGAAACAGGACCUCGAUUCUAUUUUGUUGGUUUUCGGAACCUCGAGGUAAUGAUUAACAGGAACGGAUGGGGGCAUUCGUAUUGCGACGUUAGAGGUGAAAUUCUUGGAUCGUCGCAAGACGGACAGAAGCGAAAGCAUUUGCCAAAAACGUUUUCAUUGAUCAAGAACGAAAGUUAGAGGUUCGAAGGCGAUCAGAUACCGCCCUAGUUCUAACCAUAAACUAUGCCAGCUAGCGAUCCGCCGACGUUCCUCCGAUGACUCGGCGGGCAGCUUCCGGGAAACCAAAGCUUUUGGGUUCCGGGGGAAGUAUGGUUGCAAAGCUGAAACUUAAAGGAAUUGACGGAAGGGCACCACCAGGAGUGGAGCCUGCGGCUUAAUUUGACUCAACACGGGAAACCUCACCAGGCCCGGACACCGGAAGGAUUGACAGAUUGAGAGCUCUUUCUUGAUUCGGUGGGUGGUGGUGCAUGGCCGU
Molecule: ribosomal RNA, 903 nt
Filed under: Myrrha octodecimguttata
Lineage: Eukaryota; Metazoa; Arthropoda; Insecta; Coleoptera; Coccinellidae
Description: SSU rRNA
Rfam family: Eukaryotic small subunit ribosomal RNA
Source: RNAcentral